UACGAAGGGGGCUAGCGUUGCUCGGAAUCACUGGGCGUAAAGGGCGCGUAGGCGGCCAUUCAAGUCAGAGGUGAAAGCCCAAGGCUCAACCUUGGAACUGCCUUUGAUACUGUUUGGCUUGAGACCGGUAGAGGUAAGUGGAACUGCGAGUGUAGAGGUGAAAUUCGUAGAUAUUCGCAAGAACACCAGUGGCGAAGGCGGCUCACUGGCCCGGUACUGACGCUGAGGUGCGAAAGCGUGGGGAGCGAACAGG
This 253-nucleotide ribosomal RNA is filed under the name uncultured bacterium. RNAcentral's name for it is "partial 16S ribosomal RNA". It matches the Rfam family "Bacterial small subunit ribosomal RNA", at positions 524 to 776 of the family's 1533-position model. The record is from RNAcentral.